This 2385-nucleotide long non-coding RNA is filed under the name Marmota monax (woodchuck). Lineage: Eukaryota; Metazoa; Chordata; Mammalia; Rodentia; Sciuridae. The record is from RNAcentral.
GUGAGACUGGAGUUUCUCCACGGCUGCUGCAGGGUGGGGUCUGCAUAAGGCUGCAGGUCUCUACAGCCAAGAAUGCUGCAGUUCUUGAUGGUGGGCUUGGUAUGGACCCCAGCAGCUCACCAUCAAUUUCUUUUUCUUUCCAGGUUCUUAUCUUCUGAAUUUGAAGAAUGAAAUCCACAGAUCAAGAUGAGUGAGCGUAAGAGUAGGAUUUAUUGAAGAAUAGACACAGGAACAGAACACUUGCAGGGAAAGGGGGACCCAAGAGCAGUUUUUCUCCAUCAGAGUGUGCCAGUCUAUAGGUUUACAUAGCACUUGGGAUCCUGCUAAUGGUCCAAACUUAGGCUAAGUAGGGUUGGAAAAAAGUACCAGUGCUAUUGGUUCAAACUUGUGCUAAUUAGGAUUUGGAAAAGUGAGCUACUGGUCAACUCUUGAGUCCCCACUUCCAUUCAGGUCUGCCCAACUUCCACUUUCUCACUGCAGGUCAGGAGGUGGGAGGUUGAAGUUGUCAGAUGGUCUAUGCUUAUGGGUUUUGAGCUGCAGCACUGCACGGAAAGUGAGUCUGAAGUAGGUGUCCAUAUCAUGCCCAGGCCUGGCCAGCAAAGGCUGUGUGCCAUGGCUUGCAGGACUUCAGGACCACCCUGCCUGCCUGGUGGCUUCAAGAGGCAGCAGGGCAUGCUAGCUGCCUGGGCCCCAACUCACCCAGGCUGCCACUACACUGCUGCCCCUCAGGAGGAACUAGUAGGCCAGCUGUGUGGCUGCCAGGGCGCUGUGUCAGCAGGGGAAUUCUGCUACCCCGUGUUUAUGUCUCUUUUUGUCACUGGGCUAUGACCGUCCCAGGUGUUUCUCAGUUUUUUGACACUGUUAGGCAACAUAGGAAGGCUCGAGGAAGGUGGGGUGGGUAAUCUCUCUCCCUUAGCACUGCGCAAGUUUCUGGUGAAAUCUUUUUCCCUUGUGUUAUUGGCCUUUUUAUGAAGAGAUUCUGUUCUAAUUCAAAAUGGUCACUUGCCAGAAAUACUAGGGUUCCUCUUGGGUUUUUACUAUGAGAACCCGGUAGGGAUCCUGGAAUUAACAUUUAUGAAAAUGUGGGGUUCCCCUAAGACUGCGGCCCCCAAGAGCUUCUCCAUUCUUGCACUAGACUACACUCCAUGUUCAGCAAUUCUCGAAGUCCCUACAAGUCUAUGGCUCUGAUGGCUUUUGCUCCCAGGGAGCAGAUCUUACCUGCAUUCACCUAUUUCUGUACAUUUUAAGGUGAUGGUUUUCCUUGUGAUCUCAAUUCUCUGACAGGUUCAGGGAAAGUUUUUCAUAUUUGGUUUAUUCAAAAUUUUCCUUCUAUUGUGGGAGUGAUGACCAAGUUUUUCACAUGUUGGAGCUGAAACCAGAAAUCCUUCCGAUUUUUUUCACAUUCUAUCAUUUUAAAUACCAGGAAACUGAGGCUUGCUGUGGUUAAAGGAGUAGCUAGAGUCUUCAGCUCCUAAGCCAGCACUUUUCCCUUCGUCAUCUUGCUUCUUAACAUCUCAUUAAAGCAAUCUAGGGAACUGGCUUCAGAAAAAGCAUUUGAAAGCAUUCAGAAUCAACAAGUGGUACUAAACACUCAGGAUGUGUCAAUCACCAUGCUAGAAAUUCUCAUAAGGAAAUAUUUCUGAGUUGUGAAAUCUUAUCUUUCUGCAAGACAAAUCCUUACCUUAAGUACCUGAACUUUGCAGAUAAGGAAAUCAUGGCUCAGAGAUAUUUAAGGAGCUUGUCUUUGAUAUAAGAGCAAAUAACAAAUGGGGUUGGCAUUGAGUCUUCUCUCUGCAACUAACGGUUAUAUGACUUGGGCCAACUUAUUUAAAUUCUCUGAGCUAUACUGCACAAAAGAGGAUAGAAUACUAAUUACCACUCUAGAUAACUAAGAUACAAAUAGCACUUAUCAUGGCUCUAGUACCAAUUUGUUUAAAAAUUUAUAAUAUAGUAUAAUUUAUAUGUUAUUAUAGUAAUAACUAAUAAUUAUUAUGAGUGUUAUUAUAAUUAAUAUGAUAUAUAUUGAUAUGUUACUAAAAAUAGAUGAGGGUUACAAUAUCAAAUCAUGGAAAUAAACUUUAUUAUAUGGCCCCUCAUGAAUAGAGUGCAAAACUGCAUGAAUCAUAAAUGUGUUCAGAGUUCUCAGCAGGGCUGGUAGGUCCCACAUAAUCUUAGGUGCCAAGAGAAAUAGUUUAAGAGCUGGAUGAGCUUUUAGGCCAGCAUUUGUGGAAAUAUGUCCAUCAAAAUCCAGCCCAAAGACAUUAAAUUGGUUAGUACAUUUGGUCAGCUUUUAAAAAAAUAUUGUUCAGGAAGAGUACAAUAACAAAAACAGUGUUAGAAUAAGCUCUUGGUGCUUUGAGAACCGUUUCCAACUCAAAUGGUUGC